Molecule: non-coding RNA, 74 nt
Organism: Chiloscyllium plagiosum (whitespotted bambooshark)
Lineage: Eukaryota; Metazoa; Chordata; Chondrichthyes; Orectolobiformes; Hemiscylliidae
Source: the annotation of a RefSeq genome assembly
GUCUCUGUGGCGCAAUUGGUCAGCGCGUUCGGUUUUUAACCGAAAGGUUGCUGGUUCGAGACCACCCAAAGACU